This 254-nucleotide ribosomal RNA is filed under the name uncultured bacterium. RNAcentral's name for it is "partial 16S ribosomal RNA". It matches the Rfam family "Bacterial small subunit ribosomal RNA", at positions 524 to 776 of the family's 1533-position model. The record is from RNAcentral.
UACGUAGGGAGCAAGCGUUGUUCGGAUUUACUGGGCGUAAAGGGCGCGUAGGCGGCCAGCACAAGUCAGUUGUGAAAUCUCCGGGCUUAACUCGGAAAGGUCAACUGAUACUGUGCGGCUAGAGUGCAGAAGGGGCAACUGGAAUUCUCGGUGUAGCGGUGAAAUGCGUAGAUAUCGAGAGGAACACCUGCGGCGAAGGCGGGUUGCUGGGCUGACACUGACGCUGAUGCGCGAAAGCCAGGGGAGCGAACGGG